This is a long non-coding RNA of Musa acuminata AAA Group (dessert banana), 707 nucleotides long. RefSeq lists it as uncharacterized. The transcript has 2 exons. Lineage: Eukaryota; Viridiplantae; Streptophyta; Magnoliopsida; Zingiberales; Musaceae. The record is from RefSeq and is a predicted model, not a curated record.
GCUUGUGAGCGAGGGAGUUGUGCUGUCUUGCAACAUGGUUUCAUUCGUCUGUGUUGGUCUUCUUAGCAAAAUGAAAGAUGUCGAGCGUCAAGUUGCAGAGGGUCCAUGAAGUCCGAUGAGAUCUGCAAGAGAGAUAUUCUCAUGAGAAAUCAUCUUGAGACCUCGCUCUUAUAAUCUAUCUAGGAAUAGCAUACUAUUCCCCAUAUGGAGACACUCGUAGAUCACCAUGGAGACUGGAGACUGUCAUCGUGGAUCGAAGGAGCCGGUUGAGACAUUGGCAAUGGAGGAAGGAUCUCGAGGCCAAUCUAUGUCUUCCUUGGUUUCAUUUAGCUCCAUGGAAGCAUCAUCAGUAAAAGGUGGUUUGGUGGGUGCAGGUGGCUGCUUCUCCCGAUCCAACAGCAUCUGCAAUGCACAAGAUACCGACGGCCUAAAUGUUGGGAUCUCCUGGGUGCAUAGAAGUCCAACAUGAAACAUCUUCAUCACUUCCUCUUUCACAGCAUCGCCAUCUGCGUAUCCGUCCAGAGUUAUAUUUGGAUCCAUCAACUGUUCCACUGUUCCUGAUUGAAAAUGCUUCCAUGCCUACACAUCCAAAGAUUAGACAUUUAGUGACAUCGGUCAUACAAUAUUGUUACUGAUGUUCUUUCUUAUGCUUCACUUUUUAUGCUCAUAGAGCAGAUACCGUGAAUGUGCAUAUCUUUUAUGCUUCA